This 145-nucleotide small RNA is filed under the name Arabidopsis thaliana (thale cress). RNAcentral describes it as "ATSL085980". Lineage: Eukaryota; Viridiplantae; Streptophyta; Magnoliopsida; Brassicales; Brassicaceae. The record is from RNAcentral.
AUUUUAAUCAAAACAAAUAUAUUAAUUAUUAUUUAAUAGUUAAACUAAGUAUUAUGACAACCGUCCAAAUUGGAUGAGAAUAGUUUCUCAAAGUUUCUCCUUCGAGAAACUCAACUCUCCCUCUCUCAUACUUUUUUUUUGAAUU